GGUGGCCAUUGUUUGAGCAUUUUGGUCCAAUUUUGGGGGGUUUUGAAGUCUGGGUUUACAUGCCCUCUUCAAGAACAGCUUCUCCAGAAAAUGAAUUGUUGGGAAUAUGUAAGUUUUGAUGUUAAAUUGAACUAACUACGCAUCUUCUCACGAAGAAGAAGAUCAAAAACAACCUACAAAACUGACAGCUUUGCCCUCAAAACUUAGUUCUUCCUCUUCCUCUUUGUUUUCUUUUCUACCCAAAUCCAAACCCCAAUUUCGUCUCUCUUCGAAUCCCUUUUGCAACCUAAACAAACCCAAAAACCAUCUUUUCUGAAUAUGACAACAUGUGUUGGCAUUAGGUGGCCAUUGUUUGAGCAUUUUGGUCCAAUUUUGAGGGGUUUUGAAGUCUGGGUUACAUGCCCUCUUCAAGAACAGCAAUCGUAUUAUGAUUUUAUUGCGGUUGUAUUGUAGUCGUAUUGCUUUUGUAUUGCUAUGGUAUUGCUGUUAUAUUGAUUUUUUUUGGUGUUUUAUUGAUAUGUUACUGUAAUUUAAUAGGAAUAUAUGUUGAUAUCAUUUUUCUUUAUCUGCUUGUGAUUUGAGUAGGAGUUGAGAUUAUUCUUGGCUGAAGUAUUAUUUACGAUCUCUCUCUUUCUCUCUCUCUCAGCUCUUUGUAUUUUUCUCAACAUUUAUGUGUUAAUUUAAUGUCUGGCAUUGUUUUGGAACCAUAAUCAUUGUCAAUCUCAUUGUUUCUUUAAAAGAUUGCUGUGAAAUUGUUACUUCAUUUUCUUCUUUCCUUUGUUUUAAGAUAUUUUUGUUUGGAGAAAAAGAACUAUGUUUUUGUAAUCUAAAAGACUAGGUAUCUAUGUCCCACAUCUUGGGACUAAUUGAAUGUUCUUGUUGAUAUUGAAAGGAAGCUGGCAUCUUUGGUUGAAAAAAUGAAGGUGUUACUGCUGAAGUAAUUUCUACUUGAUUUCAAUUUGCCUAUAAAACUUGUUGACUGGUGCUCAACAAGUUGGGUUUUUGUAGAUUGAAUUGGCUUAUAAUUUAGGUUCAUUUUUUGCAUGUGAGUGUUUUAAUGGAUUGGAUCUUCUACCUGUAUGUUUGUCAAAUCUCAAUCAUGUUUCUGAGAUGAGUUGUGCAGUAGUGUUGGUUGAAAAUUAAUAUGUUAUUUAUUCAUUGAAGCAUAUUGUUUCUCGAUGGUGAGUGCUUGACCAAAUUAUAAUUUGCUGCAGUUUUGUCUUGACAAUUUAUGUUUCUCUCUCUUUUUCUUUUCAAAUUGCACAAGGGAAAAGCCACACCCAACUCGUUUCCCUGUGAAGAACAAAUUUGAGGUUAACAAUUACACAAUGUGUUUUAGCUGGUUUGUGCAGACACUGAUGUGCAAGUCAUACACUGGCAUUGGAGACCAUUUUGUCCAUAAUGUAAUGUGUAGACAAGGAGUUCUUUGAGAUGCCUUCUGAAGAGAAAAGCAAAGCUUCUAUUAUGAAAAUGCUAAGCAAACUUGCAGCAAACUGUACACAUCAUUGAUUAUACUUGUUAUUAGGCCCCAAGAAUUAGUAAGGACAUAAGAUAUCAUGUAUUCUUCUUGUGGAGCCGUAUGUUUCUAAUAUUUGUGUAAU
RNAcentral lists this long non-coding RNA (1601 nucleotides) under Prunus dulcis (almond). Its description in RNAcentral is "sRNA ncRNA". Lineage: Eukaryota; Viridiplantae; Streptophyta; Magnoliopsida; Rosales; Rosaceae. The record is from RNAcentral.